UUGAGGUAGUUAAAAGUUAUAACAAAACUUUGAAGAAGUUUAAUUGGGUUGCUAAAUUCUCCCCCUCAAUAA
Molecule: transfer RNA, 72 nt
Filed under: Ophiomastix mixta
Lineage: Eukaryota; Metazoa; Echinodermata; Ophiuroidea; Amphilepidida; Ophiocomidae
Description: tRNA-Phe
Source: RNAcentral